This 74-nucleotide transfer RNA is filed under the name Marmota monax (woodchuck). Its description in RNAcentral is "tRNA.Val". It matches the Rfam family "tRNA". Rfam says of the family: Transfer RNA (tRNA) molecules are approximately 80 nucleotides in length. Their secondary structure includes four short double-helical elements and three loops (D, anti-codon, and T loops). The record is from RNAcentral. Lineage: Eukaryota; Metazoa; Chordata; Mammalia; Rodentia; Sciuridae.
UGGGGUUUUGGCUCAAGUGGUAGAGCGCUUGCCUAACACACAUGAGGUACUGGGUUCGAUUCUCAGCACCACAU